GAUAAACGCUGGCGGCGUGCCUUAUGCAUGCAAGUCGAACGGUUCUUGGCCCUUCGGGGUUAAGGAUAGUGGCGAACGGGUGAGUAACACGUAAGUAACCUGCCCUUAGGUGGGGGAUAACUCCGAGAAAUCGGGGCUAAAACCGCAUGUGGUAGCGGGUAGUAUGACCCGCUAAGAAAGACUUCGGUUGCCUGAGGAGGGGCUUGCGUCCGAUUAGCUUGUUGGUGGGGUAAUGGCCUACCAAGGCGACUAUCGGUAGCUGGUCUGAGAGGAUGGUCAGCCACACUGGGACUGAGACACGGCCCAGACUCCUACGGGAGGCAGCAGCAGGGAAUAUUGGACAAUGGGCGAAAGCCUGAUCCAGCGACGCCGCGUGAGGGAUGAAGGGCUUCGGUUCGUAAACCUCUUUUCUCGGGGAUGAAUAAUGACAGUACCC
Molecule: ribosomal RNA, 436 nt
Filed under: uncultured bacterium
Lineage: Bacteria
Description: bacterial SSU rRNA
Rfam family: Bacterial small subunit ribosomal RNA
Source: RNAcentral